Molecule: ribosomal RNA, 250 nt
Filed under: uncultured bacterium
Lineage: Bacteria
Description: partial 16S ribosomal RNA
Rfam family: Bacterial small subunit ribosomal RNA
Source: RNAcentral
AACGCGAAGAACCUUACCUGGGCUUGACAUCUGAGGAACCUCAGGGAAACCUGGGGGUGCCCAGCAAUGGGAGCCUCAAGACAGGUGCUGCAUGGCUGUCGUCAGCUCGUGUCGUGAGAUGUUGGGUUAAGUCCCGCAACGAGCGCAACCCUUGUCUCUAGUUGCCAUCAUUCAGUUGGGCUACUCUAGAGAGACUGCCGGUGAUAAACCGGAGGAAGGUGGGGACGACGUCAAGUCCUCAUGGCCUUUA